AUUGCCAUAUUUCCAGUUCCAGAUUGACAUAGUGGGAUUUGACAACAGCCAUCCUUCACUCCCUGACAGUGAAUGGUUGAAAGUAACAUGAUCAAUCAAGGAUGGGAAACUCCAAAACUGACUCAAGGAUUAGAAAAUGACGGCAUGGGAGAAGAGCAGACACUUGUGGGUGAUGACUGUCUUAGGGAAUCACUGGAGAAUCAACAUCCUGGUAGGAAAAGACCAUGCAGCCCCUAACAAUGGAAAGUCUAAAUUGUUUUUCUUCAGUUCCUGCCUCUACAGGCACCCUCAUGCCAAAAUAACUCAAUUCUUGGUUUACUGAUCAAAGUGAGAUCAUUUAGAACAUUUUAAUUUUUUUCUAAAUUUCUUCUCAUUUGCUCCUGUUCUCAACUCAUCUCCCACUUCAAAGGAAUAUCCCAUCCUAUUACUUGGGGUGCUAUGUGUUCAGCAAAGUAAAGAAUAUCUGUAGGUCUAACUCAUAUUGCAACUCUAUUACAAUUUUCUUAUAUAAUGUGUACUAUGAAACAUGUAGUACAUAUAAAAAAAAGACUGAAAAAAAGGAGUGAAAUCUAAGAACCAGAGAACAUUAUCAAAUUUCUUGAGCUCACUCUGCCAAGACAAUAACUUCAUGAAUGUUUUAUAAUGAAGGAUGGACUGAAUAAUGAUCCAAAUAAAAUUUUAAUUUUCUUUCA
Molecule: non-coding RNA, 692 nt
Organism: Ictidomys tridecemlineatus (thirteen-lined ground squirrel)
Lineage: Eukaryota; Metazoa; Chordata; Mammalia; Rodentia; Sciuridae
Source: RefSeq, a predicted model, not a curated record